This is an RNA transcript of Ailuropoda melanoleuca (giant panda), 11006 nucleotides long. It is a transcript of the gene named alpha kinase 2, with no coding region annotated. The transcript has 14 exons. The record is from RefSeq and is a predicted model, not a curated record. NCBI's taxonomy places the organism in Eukaryota, Metazoa, Chordata, Mammalia, Carnivora, Ursidae.
AUGCCUGGUAUUCUUGGUAUGAGAACUGCUGGUCUUACUCCGGCCUCAGAGACUUUAUCAGACAGCAAGAUUCUGCUUUUCUAAGAGGCAAGCCACUAAACUUGAGGUCCCGCACAGCCCUGCAGAGCGGCGCUCAGUGUCCCGAGCCUCAGGGACAGCUCGUCUGCGUUUCGUCAGCUCACUGGAGCUGCAUUUCACCAGGCCCCUCUGCCAGGGCCUCCCCGGCGUCAACAAGUGUCACACCUCCUGCAGAAACAGCCCUCAAGUUUCAUCACAGCGAUGCUAAAAAAUGUUCUCCACCUUCAGCAAUGACCUAGUUCAUUCAAGGGCAGGGAAAAAAUGUCUUCUUCCAGAACUUCCCCGGGCAUGGAAUUUUCCCUCUUAGGAAGAUAGGAGCUUUUCUGGAAACAGACCCACCUGUGCUUUGACCUGAACGUGGAAAAGACCCUGAACCCUGUAACUCCUCUGAAUCCCCAGUCCCAGGAGCAGGGACACCCAAUCAAUACCUCCCACACAGCCUGGGGAGCCCACAGCCGAGCCAGCCCUCCUAUCACGUCUCUUGGACAAAAGGUAUUGAAAAAUUCACAUGGCAUGAAAGGAUGACAGACUCCGGAGAGCCCCAGAGGCGCACACUUUGUUUUCUAUCUACGUUGCUUUCCCAGAAAGUUCCUGAGAAGUCAGACGCCGUGCUUCGCUGCAUAAUAUCUGGUCAGCCCAAGCCAGAGGUAACUUGGUAUAAGAAUGGUCGAGCCAUUGAUGAGUGUGGCAUUGUUUCCAGUUACGAACUCUUCCAGAAUCAGUAUAUUCAUGUGUUACAUCUCUCCUGCUGCAGCCCAGAUGAUGCUGCCGUUUACCAGAUCUCUGCUAAAAACUGUUCUGGAAUGAUUUGCUGCUCUGCUUCUGUUGAAGUCGAGUGCUCAGCAGAGAACCCACAGCUCUCUCCUAACCCGAAAGAUGGCGGGGGCACGAGUUGGAAACACGCCACUGAGGCAUGUGCGCGGGAGAAAACAAGUCAGCUCGAUGAGAAGGAACAUCCUUGUGAGGGGGAAGAAAGUAUCUGGGCAGGUACUCCUGCGUCAGCUGACUCCCCCUCCUCCAAACUGAGCUGUGCGGGCUCACUCCAGUUAUUGGCCAAUAGCGACACCAGUGCCUCCAGGUCUGAAAAUCCCUUGGAUGUUAAAGGAAAGAAGCCAACGGAAGAGGCUUGUGAUCCGAAAGACGCAGAGGAGGUUGCAGACGGGUUGCUUUUUUCCAAUUCAAGUCAUAUUCCUGCUCAACUAAACGUGUGUUGCCACGGCCCAGUGCAUUCCCAAGUAUCGAGGCUAACGGAUGGCGCCUUGAGCAGCGAGGGCCCUCGUGAGGACGUGUCCACCUCUGGCCCAGCAGAGCCCAAAGCGCAGAAAUACAUCAGCUUCAGCCGGCCGCUGUCAGAGGAGGCCGCAUCCGUGCGCCCAGGUGACGGGGCCCCGAUCAAGCAGCAAGUCAGCCCACAGGUGUCCAGCGAAGACUCUGACAGUGACUAUGAACUUUGCCCAGAGAUAACCCUAACCUGCACGGAGGAGUUUUCAGAUGAUGACCUAGAGUAUCUGGAAUGUUCCGACGUUAUGACGGAUUACUCUAAUGCAGUUUGGCAAAGGAACCUGCAGGGGACUGUGCAUGUUUUUUUAUUAGAAAGCGAUGACGAAGAGAUGGAAUUCAGUGCGUGUUGCCUGGGUGGGUGUGAGCAUCUCCUCAGUGAAAUGGGUUGUGGGCCUCGGGUGUCGGAUGACACUGGGCCCAUGGAGGCCACCACUGGCUUCUGCGGUUAUCACUCACAACCCCAAGAAGUGGGGGUGAAGAGCAGCCAAGCCUCCACCCACAGUCCCUCAUCCCUGCAAACGGGGAUGAUUCUGACUUUGGGACCUCACCGGGACGCAACGUCUACGGUGACGGACCCAGGGAGAUAUAAACCGCCCAUGGCUUUGGAGGCCGCUGAAAAUGAUUAUCCAGGAAUUCGAAGAGAAACCAGAGACAGCCACCAGACAGGAGAGGAAUUCGCCAGUGACAAUCUGCUAAACAUGGAGAAAACAGUGAUAGAGACGGCGAUAAAGUGCUUGUCUGGUGAGUUAGAAAAGUCAGGGGUGAACCGGUGGUUGGAGAUCACAGCUGCAGAAGGAGGAGGGGAUGAGGGCUCAUUGACCAAGAGGGGCUCGGAGAAACCUGCCAGGGCGAGGCGGCCCAGCAUGAGAGGAGAACCCAACAUGCUGAGCCCCAACCUGAAAGAGAGUGCAACAGGAGGCACCCUUAAUCUCCUCUAUCCCAAAGAACCUGUUAAGCCCCCACUAACCCAGACUGACAGAAGAGAUGGUUCGCAUGCCAGAGCAGGAGCUGCUGGUUGGAAUUCCCAGGUCCCCGCAGGAGAAUGUGCUACUCAAGCCGGAGCAGAGCAAGAAGCAAAACCCCUGCGAAUGGCACUGGGCUCACUCCCCCAGGGAGGGGACUCAGCCUUCGAGGGAGAAGGGGUGCCUGGCCAGAACCUAUUUGAAACGAGCAGAGUUCCGGACUGGAGGGCUCAUCUUCAGGUGCAAAUUCAGGAAACAGCCAGGGAGAGAGACUUUCUCAGCCCGUUGCCAACUUUCUCAGAUCCUGCUGGGGAGCAGUCUGCAUUUGCUGGGACCACAACAAAUUCCUUCCCCAACACAGGAGGGAUCAACGAGAAAGACACACCACUGGCCCAAUGCCUGGAGCGAGGAAGCUGUACUCGAUGCCCGCAGCAUGGAGAAAAGCAAAACAGAAAAGACCACGCACUUGGAGGGUCCUGGGAAGACCUAGGAUAUGAGCUGAGCAUCCCAGAUGCCAAUAACGAAAAUACGUCCCCCUGGGAGCUUUCAGUGCUUCUCUCCCAGGAGGGCAGCGCUGACCUCUGGGAGUCCAAGGCUCUCUCUGUUGCUUUCCCUGAACCCACAAAUACCAGCCUCACCCCGGAAACUCUAUGCGAUGGGCCAAGGGGCAGGGAAGCCGCGUGCGUGUGGGAGCGUCUUGGAGCCCGUGACCAAGGAACAUGUGAAACUGCGGAUUCUCCUGCUGGAGCCUCAGCUGAUAAAUGUUUGCCUCAGGAAAUUUGCUCUAUGGACCUAGAGCUGGCGGAGAGUCAAAGCAAAGGAUCUGAUUCAUGGUCUCCUGAUAACGAGAUGCCAGGCAUUCUUUCUCAAACAGAAGGUUCUGAGCUUCCACAGUCUCCACGCGAGAGCAGCAAGGAGCGAAACUCCGCCAUGCCCCCUCUUUUUACCAGUACUUUUACCUGGAACAUUUCACAAAAAGCCAGUGAAGGUGGCACAGGGGAAAAUUUAGCAGAAAUGGAGAAUUUCACCUCCACAUUGGUCUCCAUAGUACAGGCUGGCCAGGAGAGGUCAAGCCCCGGCAACUCAGGAGGGUUUGAGGAAAGACAGCCUCUGUGUUCUGAGAAUAGCUCUUCUGUGCAGUUUCUAGAAGUUGGUGACGAGAGCCCCAGUAUCAGUGUCCCCGACACGACAGAUACACCAGCCAGAAAAGGUUCAGUUGUAAUGUUUCCUCAUGAGAAGCCAAUGACUUUAACUGCUAAUCUUGAGUGUCUUCAGGUGACCAGGGAGAGUGGGGACACAUCGACGGUUACCAUGUCCACCAAAGUCCACCCAGCCAAAUACCGCCCUGCUUCAAUUGCUGAGAACAGUCAUGCACAUGGUCCCAAGGAGAGUUCACCUCAGGCACUGGAUGAAAACAUUUGCCAGCUUCCUUCCAACGCACAGUUGGGUCAUAUCUUAAAUGAUUCCACACCCAAAUCGCUAGAAGAGCCCCUCCGCAUGCUUCCCAGUGGACCAGGAGUCCACGUCCAUGUUCCUCAGCUUCCAGAAGUAGAGGGCUUUUGCUGCAGUUUUCCACUUCAGACUGAUAACCGUUCUAGAAAUAAGAGCCUGACUGUGGACAGAGCAGACAGAAGGAGGCUUGAAGAGAAUUUCCAAGACAAAGAAAGUGAAACAACACAGAGAAUCCAGCAAGAGAGCUUACCCCAACAGAGUUCUCCCGAAGAUGAUUUCCAAGAAAGUUGGCCCACGACAGCUGUUGCCCCAGGGGAAUUAGACCCGGUGUCCUUGGACCACUUAUCAGCAAACUCCAAGGUGGAGAGAGGACAGAGCUCAGGCCUGGGGACUAGCAUGUGCAAGGUGGCUGAAGCCACUGUGGAAGAUGGGGGUCAGGCUCCAAGACACAUUCCACCUCUCUCUAAUAUCCCCCUGGAAAUGUCCGGAGGGAGCGGUCCAGGACUUUGGAAAGCAGGCAGCAAGCUGAAGAUUAUAACUCUGGAAGCUUCCAUUCCAGAAGUCUGGCCUGCAAGACAACCUACAGGUUCCGAGUACAAGGAGUUGGAAACUGGUCCCAUAAUUCCUGACAGGGUCUGGGCUGUAUCUGAUGUUCUCAAGGCUCGCAGCCCUCAGGCUGAGUCUGGCUCAGCCCUUGUUAAUAACAGAGAAACCCACAGAAGUGGAAAACCAGCCAGCCGUGCGUAUUGGAGUAGUCUUUCUUCCAAGUAUUUGAGCCAACCCAGACUCCGAGAGUCAUCUGUGGACCCCGUAGAUGUCACAGACUUGCUAUCAGAGCCUUCCAGAACUGGCAAGAGGGAAAGUGUUAACAGUGUGAGUCAAAACCAGGAGGAAAACCAAAUUCAGGCAGAUCACGCUGCCUUCUUUAAACGGUUUCUGACCUGCCCUGAAAUUGUAGAGUCAUCUGUGGACCCCAGGGCUGAAGCAGGUGUGAUGGUGUGUGCCCGGGCUGAGACAGCAGGGCCUUCGGCAUCCACGCCAGCUGCCGUCAGCGAGGAGAGGAAACGAAAUGAUGGGCACGUGGGCCAGAGACUGGAAGUCCAGCCUGCCAUCUUGCAAGUCCCGAGUCCUGACGAAGGAGGGGGAAUGCUUCCACAUGGUUGCGGAAUAAGCCAAAUACAAGAGGGCAUCGUGAGAAGCCCAGGGGAGGCUGAACGAAGUAAAAACAACAAAGCAGAAUCCGUUUUCCCCACUUUACCUCUUUCUGAUGGCCCUGCCGUGAUGACUCAUGCAUCUCUUGGAGUUGAUACUCACAACUCCUCGGGUCAAAUUCAUGACAUCCCCGAGCAGGGUUUCGUGGAGCCCAGAAACCACCGAGACGCAUUUUCUGACUCAAAGGAGAGAGGAGCCGUUGAGAGUGAGUGUGGGAAACAGUCACCCUCUCCCAGUGGUCUCACUCAGUUGCCUUUUACCUCAUGGGCUGAAAGAAACAUCACAAACUUUGUAAAAAGCCACAAAAUCCAGGAACCUACGACGGAGGAGCCCUGCACUGGGGAAGCCAAACCCGCAAGUGCAUCGGGCUCCCUGGCUGUGACCUUGGCAUCUGUGGCAGUUGAACGUGCAUCAGAGAAAGUUCCUAAGACACUGCAGGGCCCUCGUCCACAGGGCUCCAAUCUGGGCAAUGGGCGAAAACCAAGGGAAGAGAAGCUCGGGCCCACGGCCGCCCAGACCCUCAGCUUCCCAAAGUCUCCUCCAGCGGGGAGCGGUUCCAGGGAGGUCAAGAGGCAAGAAACCUCAAGGAGUGGACAUUUAACUGAGGGGGUGAAGGAGAAAAUUCUGUCCAGGGUGGCCGCCCUGAGGCUGCGACUGGAAGGGAAGGAGAAUGUCAGAAAAAGUUCAAGCUUUCUCAAAAGGAUUCCUGAACUUGAAACGUCGGCAUCCGGUGCAGAUGAGACACAAGACACAAAAAAGGCACCUUGCAAAAGAGAAGGGAAAGCUCCGAUCUUACUGAAAAAGAUCCAAGCAGAGAUGUACCCUGACCACUCUGGGAAUGUAAGAUUAAGCUGCCAGUUUGCAGAAAUUCAUGAAGACUCUUCUAUCUGGUGGACAAAGGAUUCAAAGUCAAUCGCCCAAGCGCAGAGAAGUGCAGGCGACAACUCCCCCGUGUCCUUGGCCAUCGUGCAAGCAGGGCCGAAGGACCAGGGCAUCUAUUAUUGCUGCAUCAAGAACAGUUAUGGGAAAGUGACCACUGAGUUUAACCUCACGGCUGAAGUUCUGAAACAACUCACGAGUCACCAGGAUAUGAAAGGAUGUGAAGAGAUUGAGUUCAGCCAGCUCAUCUUCAGAGAAGACUUCCUCAGUGACAGUUACUUUGGGGACCACCUGCGUGGCCAGAUUGCCACGGAGGAGCUGCACUUCGGCGAAGGCGUGCACCGGAAGGCCUUCCGCAGCAAAGUGAUGCGGGGCCUCAUGCCCGUCUUCCAGCCCGGCCACGCUUGCGUGCUCAAGGUGCACAACGCCGUUGCCUACGGGACCAGAAACAACGAUGAGCUCGUCCAGAGGAACUACAAGCUCGCUGCCCAGGAAUGCUAUGUCCAAAAUACUGCCAGACACUACGCCCAGAUCUAUGCUGCUGAAGCACAGCCUUUGGAAGGCUUUGGAGAAGUGCCAGAGAUAAUUCCUAUCUUUCUUAUCCGUCGCCCUGAGAACAGCAUCCCUUAUGCAACAGUAGAGGAGGAGCUGAUUGGAGAAUUUGUGAAGUAUUCCAUCCGGGAUGGGAAGGAGAUAAACUUCCUGAGAAGAGACUCAGAGGCGGGUCAGAAGUGUUGUACCUUCCAACACUGGGUGUACCAGAGGACAAGUGGCUGCCUCCUGGUCACGGACAUGCAGGGUGUAGGAAUGAAGUUAACUGACGUUGGCAUAGCAACACUGGCUAAAGGAUAAACCCCAAGCCCUCCUUCCUGUGUGAAUCCUCCUCAGGACCCACCGCACGGCGGGAAAAGCCCCGUCACUCAGGUUCCUGUGGCUGCUUACCACAGCAAAGGGUGUGUUUGGAGGUAAUCCAUGGCACAGGGAAGCCGUGAUGAGUAGAGAGAGAGAGAGAGAGACAGAGUGAGAGAGAGAGAGAAGCCAGCCAUGCCGUCAGCUGGCAAUUUUUGUAUGAGUCUGAUUAUCAAGAUGAGAGAAAAGAGGACUCGUUUUUCGGCAAGAAAUCAGCAUAGCAUGGCUGCCAACACAUAGUGAGUACUGAAGAAACCUGUGCUGAGUCGGGACAGGGUUGUGGAAAUAGAAAGCUUCCUAGGAUGUUGCAUGACACAACUUUCACGAACAAACCAUAUGCCUGUGUUCCAAUAGAAGGGUGUCUCCAAGGUCCAGUAGGGAUGACUUGACGUCAUCACACUCUAGUUUUCUCCUGGCUUCUCCUAGACCAGUGGCAUCAGCCUCCCCCCAGAGCUCCUUAGAAAUACAGGAUCCCAGACCCCACUCCGGACCUACUGAGCCCAAACCAACAUUUUAACAAGAUCCCCGGGUAAGUUGUAUGCACCACUCCCAUCUGAGGGGAGGGUAUUUAAGCAAAGACCCCACUGAGUGGAUGUUCGGUGGAAUGAAUGUAUGGCUCUAGAGGUCAUGAGGGAGGACGGACAGAUCAACAUAAAGUGAUGGGUUAGAAAAUUAUACUAAUUUGAGGUUAAGGAUAGAAAGAUCCAGUUAGUAAAAUUCCACAGAGCUAAGCUUUCUAAAAAGGGAAAUGUGUGAGAAAGUUCUGCAAGGUUUUAUUCUGUUGUAUUAGAGUCCCGGGGCCGCCAUAAACAAUGACCAUAACCUAGUGGCUUAAACAGCAGAAAUAUACUCCCCGGCGUUCUGGAGGCCAGAAGUCCCAUGUGCAGGUAGGUGUCAGAGCAGGUUCCUUCUGGAGCUUGUGAGGGUGGAUGUGCCCCACUGGGCCUCUCUCCUGGCUUCCCAAGGUGGCUGUCAAUCCUCGGCCUUCCCAGGCUUGUACAUGUCCCGCUCCAGGCUCUGCCUCUGUCAUCACGUGGUAUUUCUCCCUGUGUGUCUGUACCUUUUCUCCCCUUCUUGCACAGACACCAGAAAUAUUGAGUUAAAGGCCCACUGUACUCCAGUGUGACCUCAUUUUAAUUACAACUAUAAUAACUAUUUCCAAACACGGCCCUGUUCUGAGGUUCCAGGAAAGAUAUGCCUCUUGGAGGGAACCCUGUUCAGCCUAGUACGUCCAUCUAACAAGAACAACAGAGGUGAGUGGAGUGGGGAUCAUGCUGGAGAGAUGUCUGGCUAUUUGAGAUUCAUGGUCUCCUCUACUCCUGCUGGUGGCAGAUGGCACAUGGGGCUGGCAAGGGGGACCAGAGGCAGGAGAACCUGUUUUCCCCAUUGCCUGGUGGUAUAGGAGAGCUUUGUGUCCUUUGAAACACUCUGGGUUAAUUGAUCUGGGAACACAAAGGAUGUUGCCCUGUUUUCUUUUAAGGCAUCAGCCACGGCUGUGAGCCUGAGAGAAUUGGCAGUCAUGGCAGCGGCCCAGCUCCCCUGACUGAGACCGAAACCAAACUGAGACCUGAGAUAGGCAAGGGAUGGAAGUUCAUUAUUGUGUGACAUGCCAAGUUGAAGGUCCAAAAUCAGAUCCAGAGAGAAAGAGAAGUUCAGAAAUGUGAUCUGGAGACCCUCUGGGCCAAGCUGAGGCCGCCCUGAGGAUGGGGCUGGUGUCCGUUUGUUUCCUUGACCUUUACUGAAAAGCCCCCCUCCCCGACAGGCAUGUUGGGAAUCAGGUGGUGUUGUAGGAGAGAUGACAGUCUGUGCAGAGAUGUGAAGCAUUCCCUGAAUUCUGAGAAGUGUAUGUAGUUCUCUUAAAGAUACAGGGAAGAUGUUGGCGAUCUCUCCUCGUGGUGAGGACAGGGUCAGGGAGGGCUCCACAGAAAUGCACUUGAGCUGGGGGUGCUAAGAAAGGGGCUCCUAGACCACGCAAAGCAGCCUUCCCUCUAGGGCAUCACCAGGCCCAUGGCCAUCUAUAGUAAAAACCGGCCUCAGUCCCUGCUGCCCUACUCUGGCUUUCCGUGACGACUCUAAAGAGAGGGAUGUAAAGGAAAAGAAGGGGCCAGAUUUCUGGGAAGAGAUCUGGGCUCCCAGGGGAGAGUCAGGAGGGCAGACCUUGCUGGGCUGCCUAGAAGUCCUGUUCCUUUGCCCACACUCAGCCUUUCCCAUUCCAGAGCAUGGGGACUGUUACAGAAGGGCUCCCUGGUGGCCAGACAGUGCUUAAGAAGUGACUCUCACAUUCUCUGGGAGGCCCCAGUGUGAAUUAGUGAUUUUUCUCUGCAGAAACUAGAUGUUGUCUGAAUGUUUAAAAGGCUCAAGGCAGCCUGAGACAGGUGACCGUGACUUGUUUCCAGACGGGGAGCCUGCCCCUGCCCAUGACCUUCCUAGUUUGUGUGAGGAGCGAGGCCUCCCUCCAGCAGAAGGACGGGGUCGGGCUUUCCAUCACGUCUGACAAGCGCACGGGCCCAGGUGGCCUCGCGUCCUGCCCCCAUCCUGCCGGGGAGCGCUCAGACACCAGAUGGAUGCAGUGGGGCUGACAUUCAGCCUUUCUCGCGGUGCCCUGCAGAAGAUAGAGACAUACGGAUGACGGAUGACGUGGUGGGCAGUGGAAUUUCCUCUCCCCUGCUGGAUUCAACUCCUGUCUCCUGCUGACUCUUCCCUCAAUGAGGGAGUCCGGCCUUUAGGAACUGAGUCAUUUUUCAUAAGCAAAUGGACUGUGGGCUCCCAGGAGCAGAGCGUUCCCUCGCAGGGAGGAGGGAGAGGAGGGGAGCAGGCUGGAUUUGUAACAAACUUGUUAAGAGAGACAAGCCUGAUGCUUUGGCCCCAGGGGUGAAAGGAACCUUUUAUUCCCUUGACAGCUUCAAACCCAGCUUGGAUUUCAUAGGGAAAAGCACACAGUCCUGGUCCCCAUUCAUUCCAGGUUCGUUCACCUUUGUGGUUUCUACCAGCAAAUGAAAGAGUCCGGAUUUCUUGUUUGGCCUACUAAUCAGACUUGGCCAGAGCUCUCCCCCACCCAGCGGGGCCAGUUUCAUGGACAUGCUGUGUGGUCUGGCAGGACCCGCACUCAGAAGGACCCUGGGCUUCGUUGAACUCAGGCUCCACUGUCGUUGUCUCCAAAGUCUUCAUAAUUUUUGAACAUGGAGCCCAUGGUUUCAUUUUGUACGGGGGCCCUACAAAUUAUGCCGACCGUUCUGUAUGCCAGGCUCACCCCUGCACCCCCAUUCACCUCCCUCACCUUUCACUCUCAGCUUCGACCUCCCUUCCACAAGAUGGAAUGUUAUAAUAUUGAUCAUUAACUCGGCCAACAUUAACUGAAAUCUGUACAACAUGUCAUGCACUGAGCGAGGUGAUCUGUGUGGAUUUUCUCAUUUCAUCCUCUCAACAGCCCAUCAAACAGCUUUCUUGAUGGGUGGAGAGAUUGGGGGCCUGGGGCUUGUCCCCUCAAGGAGGACACUGACCUUCUGUGAUUGGGAUGUGAAAAAACAGUCAUUUACAGUUUGAGUACGAAAUGUCCCAACCCAAAGGAACAACUCCUGAGAUUACUCCGAGGCAGGUCAGCAUGGUCCUUUCUAGAGCCCGCCAGUGACAGAGGUCCCAUAUUCUUCUCCUGCUGGGGAGCAGAGUUGGGGGGGGGGGGCCGUGACACAGGACAGAGUUCUUCUCUAGAAGGAAGACUGAGAGGACUGCAUCCGAAUCUUGGCUCUUGUACCAACUUGCUUUGUUUUCUUGGCUGGUGCCAGAAAUUCUGGGCCUAAAUUCUCUUAACUAUAAAUUGAAAGGUUGAAACUAAAUAAUUUCUUCCAGCCCUAGAGCUGUAGAAUUUUUUUAUUCAGAACCUCUGGGUGGGCUGGGGUGGCUCUCAGACCACCAAGAGAUCUAAUUUUUAUCAAGAUGGUCCAGCUCUAGUCACUAUGACUAAAAGAAAAAGAGCAAUAACAUGCUGUUUUAUUGGAACCAGAAGCAUCUAGAACACUUGUGUAAUCACAGGCCUUGGGUCUGUACUGUGCAUGCUAGCAGGUCUUCGCCUUUACUCACUCCCACAGGGUUUGGUUCUUCUGUCAAUAGCAACGGCAGGCAUUUGGCCCUUCUUGCCUAGAGCAGGAAUCAGUAUAUUUUCCAUGUACCUUAGUCUCCCCUGUUAAAACUGGUGAGUGUCCUGUUUCUAAAAAGUCUGUGUCCUUCUACCCAAAC